CACGAGUGAGCUCCAUCAGGUGAGGAAACUGAGGCCCAAGGGGAUACAACUGGUGUCCAAGGCAGCCUUCGAUUCCAGGUCCAGUGCUGGGUCCUCUCUUCACAAGAACUCAACUUGGGGAACUGAUUAGCAUCGUCGUUCCUGAUUUGCCGCCAUGAUUAGGCAGCUGUCUUGCUGAUUGGGAGAAGGAAACUGAGGCCCAGAGAGAGGAAGACGCUUGCCCAACAUCCCGUAACUCGUUUGGCACUGCUGAUACCAUUCAGAUACAAAUCCUGUGGCUCCAAUCCAAGCCUCAGAAGUGGGCAAGGGUGAAGACUCAAGUCCAACAACAUGGGAGGUUUUCGGGGACCCAACAAUUCAAUGCCUCAUUAAAAAACAAAAUGGAG
RNAcentral lists this long non-coding RNA (386 nucleotides) under Phascolarctos cinereus (koala). RNAcentral describes it as "lncRNA (ENSPCIG00000036801.1)". Lineage: Eukaryota; Metazoa; Chordata; Mammalia; Diprotodontia; Phascolarctidae. The record is from RNAcentral.